This 550-nucleotide ribosomal RNA is filed under the name uncultured Gammaproteobacteria bacterium. RNAcentral's name for it is "bacterial SSU rRNA". It matches the Rfam family "Bacterial small subunit ribosomal RNA", at positions 355 to 896 of the family's 1533-position model. The record is from RNAcentral. Lineage: Bacteria; Pseudomonadati; Pseudomonadota; Gammaproteobacteria.
UGGGGAAUAUUGGACAAUGGGGGCAACCCUGAUCCAGCAAUGCCGCGUGUGUGAAGAAGGCCUGAGGGUUGUAAAGCACUUUCAGUGGGGAGGAGGAUUGACAGGUUAAGAGCUGGUUAAUUGGACGUUACCCACAGAAGAAGCACCGGCUAACUCCGUGCCAGCAGCCGCGGUAAUACGGAGGGUGCGAGCGUUAAUCGGAAUUACUGGGCGUAAAGGGUGCGUAGGUGGUUUAUUAAGUUAUCUGUGAAAUUCCUGGGCUCAACCUGGGACGGUCAGAUAAGACUGGUAGACUCGAGUAUGGGAGAGGGUAGUGGAAUUUCCGGUGUAGCGGUGAAAUGCGUAGAGAUCGGAAGGAACACCAGUGGCGAAGGCGGCUACCUGGCCUAAUACUGACACUGAGGCACGAAAGCGUGGGGAGCAAACAGGAUUAGAUACCCUGGUAGUCCACGCCGUAAACGAUGUCAACUAGCUGUUGGUUAUAUAAAAAUAAUUAGUGGCGCAGCAAACGCGAUAAGUUGACCGCCUGGGGAGUACGGUCGCAAGAUUA